Non-coding RNA from Thelonectria olida, 86 nucleotides. The record is from the annotation of a GenBank genome assembly. Lineage: Eukaryota; Fungi; Ascomycota; Sordariomycetes; Hypocreales; Nectriaceae.
UCCGGUAUGGUGUAAGGGUUAGCAUAGGGCACUCUCAAUCAUCAAGAGACGAUGCCUUGAUCAGGGUUCGAAUCCCUGUACCGGAG